Molecule: non-coding RNA, 239 nt
Organism: Enterococcus sp. 2G9_DIV0600
Lineage: Bacteria; Bacillati; Bacillota; Bacilli; Lactobacillales; Enterococcaceae
Source: Rfam
AUGAAUCUGUUGAGAAGGAAAGUAACCGCGGAUACUUUAAAGAGAGACUCUGGUUGGUGGAAAGAGUCAAGUCAGAAGCGAUGAAAAAUGGCCUUGGAGGAUUGAUUGUCGAUAAGUAGGCAAUCACGGAUGCGCACUACCGUUACAAAGUGCACCAAUCUCUAGCACGGCUAGACGUUGGGUUGAGGGAAGGGAAACCUUCUAAACAAAAGGUGGUAACACGAGUAUUCGUCCUUUUA